ACAAAAUUGUGUAUUUGUAUUUUUGUGUACGUACAAUUUUCUGCUAAGCAGAAGGAGGAUGUAGUAUAGGAUGCUGUGAGAAGAGAUUUGGUUUAAUCCUAUUUCUUUGUUACUUAUUUUUGUUAACAUCAGAUGCCUGUCUUUGUCUUAUAUGUGUAUGACACUGUUUGGAAAGCUGCAGUAUCUCUCUUCCUGAGGUCCAGAGGCCAUUAAAGAAUAAACAUGGGGCUUAGAGGUGUCUUGGCCACCAAACACAGAUCAGGUUACCACAAUGCCUCCCCGCUGCUGACGCUUCAUCCCCCACACCUCCAGCCCCAGUUACCUGGAGCUUCUCAGAACCCACUUUGCCGGUGCUAAAACACAAGAGGGGGUGAAAGUGGCUGCCAGUAAUGGCCAGAAACCAACCACCAGAGGCCAGGCUGAAAGACAAGCUCCGGGUGUCCAGGGGCUGACGGGCCAACCAUGUGGCAGGUCCCAGGCCCCACCCACUGCGCCAUCCGCCUCUGAGCUCCACAGUGGUCCCACUAAUGGGAACCUCCUCUAGGGAGAGUGAUACUGCACCUUCACCCGUAGGACUCAUAUUUAUAACAAUGUGUAAUGGCUGUAGCAAAAAGCCCUUGUUUCUAGAUGUAAAUGGUCAAAGAAACAAGCGCUCUAUUGUUUUGAAUAAAAUAGUUCAAAUGAGUCCUGUAUCAUUGUAUCUCCUAUUCUGGAUUAGUGCCU
This 723-nucleotide long non-coding RNA is filed under the name Homo sapiens (human). Its description in RNAcentral is "non-protein coding lnc-HMBOX1-1:4". Lineage: Eukaryota; Metazoa; Chordata; Mammalia; Primates; Hominidae. The record is from RNAcentral.